UUACUAUAGAGUUCCGUUCUUGCAGCGGAAACGUACCGGUAACCACUAAUGUGCACGUAAGCUAGUACAUGUCGCAAUCGAAUGCUUUAGCAAUGCAUAUUUGUCCUUAAAAAAAACUUUUAGGCCACAAAUACACAGCAUCUAAAAGCAAAAUAUGAAGUUGGGUGGUCACUGAUCGUGUAUCAUACAAAGUUCUUCCGUUGGAAACGUCAUAUGUCUGUCGUCAGGAUCCCAUGCAAGUGACUGACUGCCUGUCCAUGUGAGGGUUGCAGGUCCUAUCCUAGAUGACGAGAGGCGCGGUACACACUGGACUGGUCAUCCGUCACUUGGUCACAGGGCACAUCCAGAGUCCAUUUGUGUUGGUCAUGAUAUCAGUGGACACCACCUGGUUUGCACCUGCAUUGAAGCUCCAACGUCAUGGCCAUUCAUUUGAAUGACUGGCUUGCCUCUUUCCUCUGGGGAGGAUGCUCGGCCAGAAUGAGAGAAAGCUUGCUUCAUGCGUGCUGGCAGGGAGUCCAUCACAUCGCAUGCCCAUGUGUGCGUGCAUGCAUGGUUUUUAGGAGGCGCUUUUUCCAGACGGUCCUAAGAGAUAAAGCCCACCGAGAUACUCUUAUGGCAGCAAACACCAACAACACUGAAAUCCAAUCCGUGCUUACUGCCUGUGUCCCCCCUUUUGAAGUUCCAACUUGGAAGAUUUGAGUGUGGUGAAUCGCCUGAGCUGCUCUGUUUCCAUCAGUGGCCUCAAUCACACCCCCAACCGCCACUUAUGUUUUGCUGUACUCUG
Long non-coding RNA from Hippocampus comes (tiger tail seahorse), 784 nucleotides. RefSeq lists it as uncharacterized. The transcript is spliced from 3 exons. The record is from RefSeq and is a predicted model, not a curated record. Lineage: Eukaryota; Metazoa; Chordata; Actinopteri; Syngnathiformes; Syngnathidae.